GACGAACGCUGGCGGCGUGCCUAACACAUGCAAGUCGAGCGAGUGGAGUUCUUCGGAACAAAGCUAGCGGCGGACGGGUGAGUAACACGUGGGCAACCUGCCUCAUAGAGGGGAAUAGCCCCCCGAAAGGGAGAUUAAUACCGCAUAAGAUUGUAGCUUCGCAUGAAGUAGCAAUUAAAGGAGCAAUCCGCUAUGAAAUGGGCCCGCGGCGCAUUAGCUAGUUGGUGAGGUAACGGCUCACCAAGGCGUCGAUGCGUAGCCGACCUGAGAGGGUGAUCGGCCACAUUGGGACUGAGACACGGCCCAGACUCCUACGGGAGGCAGCAGUGGGGAAUAUUGCACAAUGGGGAAACCCUGAUGCAGCAACGCCGCGUGAGUGAUGACGGCCUUCGGGUUGUAAAGCUCUGUCUUCAGGGACGAUAAUGACGGUACCUGAGGAGGAAGCCACGGCUAACUACGUGCCAGCAGCCGCGGUAA
RNAcentral lists this ribosomal RNA (477 nucleotides) under uncultured bacterium. RNAcentral's name for it is "partial 16S ribosomal RNA". It matches the Rfam family "Bacterial small subunit ribosomal RNA", at positions 28 to 523 of the family's 1533-position model. The record is from RNAcentral.